This 444-nucleotide ribosomal RNA is filed under the name uncultured bacterium. RNAcentral describes it as "bacterial SSU rRNA". It matches the Rfam family "Bacterial small subunit ribosomal RNA", at positions 354 to 796 of the family's 1533-position model. The record is from RNAcentral.
GUAGGGAAUAUUGGGCAAUGGCCGAGAGGCUGACCCAGCCAUGCCGCGUGCCGGAUGAAGGCCUUCUGGGUUGUAAACGGCUUUUCUCAGGGAAGAAAAAGGGGAUGCGUCCUCAACUGACGGUACCUGAGGAAUAAGCACCGGCUAACUCCGUGCCAGCAGCCGCGGUAAUACGGAGGGUGCGAGCGUUGUCCGGAUUUAUUGGGUUUAAAGGGUGCGUAGGCGGCCCGUUAAGUCCGGGGUGAAAGCCCACUGCUCAACAGUGGAACUGCCCUGGAUACUGGCGGGCUUGAGUCCAGACGAGGUUGGCGGAAUAGAUGCUGUAGCGGUGAAAUGCAUAGAUAGCAUCUAGAACCCCGAUUGCGUAGGCAGCUGACUAGGCUGGCACUGACGCUGAGGCACGAAAGCGUGGGGAGCGAACAGGAUUAGAAACCCCGGUAGUCC